This 1170-nucleotide ribosomal RNA is filed under the name Hymenolepis sp. GP-2016. RNAcentral's name for it is "eukaryotic LSU rRNA". The stretch from base 37 to 716 matches the Rfam family "Eukaryotic large subunit ribosomal RNA", at positions 24 to 664 of the family's 3401-position model. The record is from RNAcentral. Lineage: Eukaryota; Metazoa; Platyhelminthes; Cestoda; Cyclophyllidea; Hymenolepididae.
CCGAAAGAUGGUGAACUAUGCACAACCUUAGGUCGACCCGCUGAAUUUAAGCAUAUCAAUAAGCGGAGGAAAAGAAACUAACCAGGAUUCCCUUGGUAACGGCGAGUGAAGAGGGAAGAGCCCAGCACCGAAGCCUGCGGCAGUUUUGCUGUUAGGCAAUGUGGUGUGUGGGUCGGCUCGCGGGACCAUCACUCCACUCGAAGUCCAGCAUUGAGUAUGGCAUCACUGGAUUUGGCCCAUAGAGGGUGAAAGGCCCGUACGGGUGGAGGUUCAGACAUGUGAGAUGGUUCACCAGGCCGGCCUCAGAGUCGGGUUGUUUGAGAUUGCAGCCCAAAGAGGGUGGUAAACUCCAUCCAAGGCUAAAUACUGCCACGAGUCCGAUAGCGAACAAGUACCAUGAGGGAAAGUUGAAAAGUACUCUGAAGAGAGAGUAAACAGUACGUGAAAUUGUCGAAAGGGAAGCGCUUCAGUCAGAUAUGGCUUUGAAUGUUCAGCCUUUAGGUGUAUUCAUUUUUUGUCAGGCCAGCAUCGAUUUUGAACGUCGGAUAAGGGUAGAAAGAACGUAGCAUACUCUCGGGUAUGUGUUAUAGCUUUUUACUGGAUACGACGAUCGGGAUCGAGGUUCGCAGCACACCCUUUUUUGGGCAGGUCUUCGGACACUUUUUGUGCUUAGGAUGCUGGCGUAAUGGCUUGAAGCGACCCGUCUUGAAACGCGGACCAAGAGCGAGCAAGUCGUGUCCUCCUGGUGCGUUGCUGUGUUGGGUGGGCGCGAUCGCAGGCGGAGUGGGUGAACGGCGCAGUGGUGCCUCGGUACUGCCGCGUGCUAUCGUGCACUCCCCGUCGUAAGCGGUUAGUGGGUUUGACUAAGUGCUGUGACUACUUGCCCAUUAGCCGGCAGCUCGCAGUGGUGAAAGUGACUGUGCAGGGCACCGGAGUUGUCCACCUCAUUCAAUAUGGUAUCCGGCACGCACGUUACAGGUGCUGAGGAAUCGGGAUGCGCCGCUGUCUGCCUGGUGUUGGGCCUGACUGUCGUGUUGCCUGCGCAAAGUGGGUCCGGCGGUGGUUUCGAUGCUUGGUAUUGGCAGUGUGCCGCGUGUCUCGGGUGUCUGUGGUACCGGGGGUGAAAUAGUCAGUGGUGCUGUGGUAGACGAGCUACCCGACCCGUCUUGA